UUUAAAUAAAUUAUUAUUAAAAAUUAUUUAAAAUAUUAAAUGUUAAAACAUUAAAGUUAAAAGAUUUGGCGGUAUUUUGAAAAAUUAGAGGAAUUUGUAGUGUAAAUGAUAGUACACGAUAAGAAAAACUUUUUAUUUAUUUAUGUAUUGCUGUUUUAAAUAAUUUAUUGAAUAAAUUUUGAGAGGGUUAAUUUUAAAAAAAAUAAUUCAAGUCAAAAUGUAGUAUUUUAAAGAAUUAAAUGAAUUACAAUUUUUUAUAUAUUGAAUUAAUAAAAUUUAAUUUUAUUAUGAAAUUGGAUUUAAAAGUAAAUUUAAAUUAAUUAAUUUAUUUGAAUAUUUUUUAAGAUAAGU
RNAcentral lists this ribosomal RNA (351 nucleotides) under Mischocyttarus mastigophorus. Its description in RNAcentral is "partial 12S ribosomal RNA". The record is from RNAcentral. Lineage: Eukaryota; Metazoa; Arthropoda; Insecta; Hymenoptera; Vespidae.